RNAcentral lists this ribosomal RNA (253 nucleotides) under uncultured bacterium. RNAcentral describes it as "partial 16S ribosomal RNA". It matches the Rfam family "Bacterial small subunit ribosomal RNA", at positions 524 to 776 of the family's 1533-position model. The record is from RNAcentral.
UACGAAGGGGGCUAGCGUUGCUCGGAAUCACUGGGCGUAAAGGGUGCGUAGGCGGGUCUUUAAGUCAGGGGUGAAAUCCUGGAGCUCAACUCCAGAACUGCCUUUGAUACUGAAGAUCUUGAGUUCGGGAGAGGUGAGUGGAACUGCGAGUGUAGAGGUGAAAUUCGUAGAUAUUCGCAAGAACACCAGUGGCGAAGGCGGCUCACUGGCCCGUAACUGACGCUGAGGCACGAAAGCGUGGGGAGCAAACAGG